CAGGCUUAACACAUGCAAGUCGAGGGGCAGCAUGGUCUUAGCUUGCUAAGACUGAUGGCGACCGGCGCACGGGUGAGUAACACGUAUCCAACCUGCCGUCUACUCUUGGACAGCCUUCUGAAAGGAAGAUUAAUACAAGAUGGCAUCAUGAGUCCGCAUGUUCACAUGAUUAAAGGUAUUCCGGUAGACGAUGGGGAUGCGUUCCAUUAGAUAGUAGGCGGGGUAACGGCCCACCUAGUCUUCGAUGGAUAGGGGUUCUGAGAGGAAGGUCCCCCACAUUGGAACUGAGACACGGUCCAAACUCCUACGGGAGGCAGCAGUGAGGAAUAUUGGUCAAUGGGCGAGAGCCUGAACCAGCCAAGUAGCGUGAAGGAUGACUGCCCUAUGGGUUGUAAACUUCUUUUAUAAAGGAAUAAAGUCGGGUAUGCGUACCCGUUUGCAUGUACUUUAUGAAUAAGGAUCGGCUAACUCCGUGCCAGCAGCCGCGGUAAUACGGAGGAUCCGAGCGUUAUCCGGAUUUAUUGGGUUUAAAGGGAGCGUAGAUGGAUGUUUAAGUCAGUUGUGAAAGUUUGCGGCUCAACCGUAAAAUUGCAGUUGAUACUGGAUAUCUUGAGUGCAGUUGAGGGCAGGCGGAAUUCGUGGUGUAGCGGUGAAAUGCUUAGAUAUCACGAAGAACUCCGAUUGCGAAGGCAGCCUGCUAAGCUGCAACUGACAUUGAGGCUCGAAAGUGUGGGUAUCAAACAGGAUUAGAUACCCUGGUAGUCCACACGGUAAACGAUGAAUACUCGCUGUUUGCGAUAUACUGCAAGCGGCCAAGCGAAAGCGUUAAGUAUUCCACCUGGGGAGUACGCCGGCAACGGUGAAACUCAAAGGAAUUGACGGGGGCCCGCACAAGCGGAGGAACAUGUGGUUUAAUUCGAUGAUACGCGAGGAACCUUACCCGGGCUUAAAUUGCAGAUGAAUUACGGUGAAAGCCGUAAGCCGCAAGGCAUCUGUGAAGGUGCUGCAUGGUUGCCGUCAGCUCGUGCCGUGAGGUGUCGGCUUAAGUGCCAUAACGAGCGCAACCCUUGUUGUCAGUUACUAACAGGUUCCGCUGAGGACUCUGACAAGACUGCCAUCGUAAGAUGUGAGGAAGGUGGGGAUGACGUCAAAUCAGCACGGCCCUUACGUCCGGGGCUACACACGUGUUACAAUGGGGGGUACAGAGGGCCGCUACCACGCGAGUGGAUGCCAAUCCCCAAAACCUCUCUCAGUUCGGACUGGAGUCUGCAACCCGACUCCACGAAGCUGGAUUCGCUAGUAAUCGCGCAUCAGCCACGGCGCGGUGAAUACGUUCCCGGGCCUUGUACACACCGCCCGUCAAGCCAUGGGAGCCGGGGGUACCUGAAGUGCGUAACCGCGAGGAGCGCCCUAGGGUAAAACUGGUGACUGGGGCUAAGUAG
This 1442-nucleotide ribosomal RNA is filed under the name uncultured organism. RNAcentral describes it as "SSU rRNA". It matches the Rfam family "Bacterial small subunit ribosomal RNA". The record is from RNAcentral.